GACGAACGCUGGCGGCGUGCUUAACACAUGCAAGUCGAACGGAAAGGCCCUGCUUGCAGGGUACUCGAGUGGCGAACGGGUGAGUAACACGUGGGUGAUCUGCCCUGCACUUCGGGAUAAGCCUGGGAAACUGGGUCUAAUACCGGAUAGGAGCCAUUUUUAGUGUGGUGGUUGGAAAGUUUUUUCGGUGUAGGAUGAGCUCGCGGCCUAUCAGCUUGUUGGUGGGGUAAUGGCCUACCAAGGCGGCGACGGGUAGCCGGCCUGAGAGGGUGGACGGCCACAUUGGGGCUGGGAUACGGCCCAGACUCCUACGGGAGGCAGCAGUGGGGAAUAUUGCAAAAUGGGGGCAAGCCUGAUGCAGCGACGCCGCGUGGGGGAUGACGGCCUUCGGGUUGGAAACUCCUUUCGCUAGGGACGAAGCUUUUUGUGACGGUACCUAGAGAAGAAGCACCGGCUAACUACGUG
RNAcentral lists this ribosomal RNA (465 nucleotides) under uncultured bacterium. Its description in RNAcentral is "partial 16S ribosomal RNA". It matches the Rfam family "Bacterial small subunit ribosomal RNA", at positions 28 to 507 of the family's 1533-position model. The record is from RNAcentral.